UGCAAGUCGAGGGGCAGCGAGGGAGUGGCAACACUUCUGUCGGCGACCGGCGCACGGGUGAGUAACGCGUAUCCAACCUGCCCACCACUUGGGGAUAGCCUUUCGAAAGAAAGAUUAAUACCCGAUGGCAUAAUUCUUCCGCAUGGUAGAACUAUUAAAGAAUUUCGGUCAUCGAUGGGGAUGCGUUCCAUUAGGUUGUUGGCGGGGUAACGGCCCACCAAGCCUUCGAUGGAUAGGGGUUCUGAGAGGAAGGUCCCCACAUUGGAACUGAGACACGGUCCAAACUCC
Molecule: ribosomal RNA, 288 nt
Filed under: uncultured Bacteroides sp.
Lineage: Bacteria; Pseudomonadati; Bacteroidota; Bacteroidia; Bacteroidales; Bacteroidaceae
Description: partial 16S ribosomal RNA
Rfam family: Bacterial small subunit ribosomal RNA
Source: RNAcentral